GACGAACGCUGGCGGCGUGCUUAACACAUGCAAGUCGAACGGUGACGAGGAGCUUGCUCCUCUGAUCAGUGGCGAACGGGUGAGUAACACGUGAGCAACCUGCCCCAGACUCUGGGAUAACAGUUGGAAACAGCUGCUAAUACCGGAUACGAGACGGAGAGGCAUCUCUACCGUCUGGAAAGUUUUUCGGUCUGGGAUGGACUCGCGGCCUAUCAGCUAGUUGGUGAGGUAAUGGCUCACCAAGGCGACGACGGGUAGCCGGCCUGAGAGGGCGACCGGCCACACUGGGACUGAGACACGGCCCAGACUCCUACGGGAGGCAGCAGUGGGGAAUAUUGCACAAUGGGCGAAAGCCUGAUGCAGCGACGCCGCGUGAGGGAUGACGGCCUCGGUUGUAACUACUUCUGCAGGAAGAAGACGAAGUAGACGGUACCGUGUCAGAAGAAGCACCGGCGAACUACGUAGCCAGCAGCCGCGGUAAACGU
Molecule: ribosomal RNA, 485 nt
Filed under: uncultured bacterium
Lineage: Bacteria
Description: bacterial SSU rRNA
Rfam family: Bacterial small subunit ribosomal RNA
Source: RNAcentral